AUUAAGUAGCCCAUGCUCCUCCUUGGCGUCCUUGCUUAGCCGCUACUCCUUGCAGGCUGCAGUGGCAGCAAUUUUUUUUGAAUUUGUUUUCCCUUAAGUAAGAAUGACGACAAGAACCAUCGUAUUGAAGUUCUAUUUAACUAAUCGUGUUUUUACGAAGAAACAGAUGUACUCAUAGCCGUUCCUAUAUGAACGCUUUAUUUUGUGAAAUCGAAAGAGAUGUUUUAGUAAAGCUUCAAAAACUGAUUAUGUGAUGGACAGUGAAACCGUUCAAGAGAAUACUGGCCAUACCAGUUCAGUGAUACCUGAUGAUCAGAUGCCAUUCAUCCUGUGAGAGUUCUCUCAAACCAGGUUGAUAGCAAGGUUGAUAGUCAAAUAGUUGAAGAGAACGUGCCAGUUCAGUGAUCUCUUGCUGCAGAUGCCAUUAGUCAUGUGACAAUUCUUUCAAACGUACCAAGUUGAUAGUCAAAUAGAAGAAGAGAAUACUGGCCGUGCCAGUUCAGUGAUCUCUUGCUGCAGCCAUCCAUCCUGUGACAGUUCUCUUAUACCGGGUUGAUAUUCAAAUAGAUGAAGAUAAUACUGGCCAUACCAGUUUCAGUGAUAACUGAUGAUCAGAUGCCAUUCAUCCUGUGAGAGUUCUCUCAAACCAGGUUGAUAGCAAGGUUGAUAGUCAAAUAGUUGAAGAGAACGUGCCAGUUCAGUGAUCUCUUGCUGCAGAUGCCAUUAGUCAUGUGACAAUUCUUUCAAACGUACCAAGUUGAUAGUCAAAUAGAAGAAGAGAAUACUGGCCGUGCCAGUUCAGUGAUCUCUUGCUGCAGCCAUCCAUCCUGUGACAGUUCUCUUAUACCGGGUUGAUAUUCAAAUAGAUGAAGAUAAUACUGGCCAUACCAGUUUCAGUGAUAACUGAUGAUGCCAUUCAUCCUGUGAGAGUUCUCUCAAACCAGGUUGAUAGCAAGGUUGAUAGUCAAAUAGUUGAAGAGAACGUGCCAGUUCAGUGAUCUCUUGCUGCAGCCAUCCAUCCUGUGACAGUUCUCUUAUACCGGGUUGAUAUUCAAAUAGAUGAAGAUAAUACUGGCCAUACCAGUUUCAGUGAUAACUGAUGAUCAGAUAUGCCAUUCAUCCUGUGACAGUUCUCUCAGGCCACGUUGAUAGUCAAAUAGUUAAUAGUUAAAGGGAACACUGGCCGUGCCAGUUCAGUGAUCUCUGCUGCUGAUGCCAUCCUUUUUAUGACAGUUCUCUCAAACCAUGUUGAUAGUCAAAAUAAAUGAUGAUAAUCUGUCAGCGGACACUUGGUUGUGUGGUUAGAGUACCCGCGCCGUGAUUCGUUGAGUCGCACGUUCAAGUCUCUUGCUGGAAGUUCAUUUUGAAUUUUCGCCUUUUGCGCGGAAAACUGU
Daphnia pulicaria is the source of this 1394-nucleotide long non-coding RNA. RefSeq lists it as uncharacterized. The transcript has 11 exons. The record is from RefSeq and is a predicted model, not a curated record. Lineage: Eukaryota; Metazoa; Arthropoda; Branchiopoda; Diplostraca; Daphniidae.